RNAcentral lists this ribosomal RNA (254 nucleotides) under uncultured bacterium. Its description in RNAcentral is "partial 16S ribosomal RNA". It matches the Rfam family "Bacterial small subunit ribosomal RNA", at positions 524 to 776 of the family's 1533-position model. The record is from RNAcentral.
UACGUAGGGGGCGAGCGUUGUCCGGAUUUAUUGGGCGUAAAGGGCUCGCAGGCGGCCUGGCCAAGUCGUGCGUGAAAUCUCUCGGCUUAACUGAGAGCGGUCGUGCGAUACUGGUCGGCUCGAGGCCGGUAGGGGGAAGCGGAAUUCCGGGUGUAGUGGUGGAAUGCGUAGAUAUCCGGAGGAACACCAGUGGCGAAGGCGGCUUCCUGGACCGGUCCUGACGCUCAGGAGCGAAAGCGUGGGUAGCGAUCCGG